This 497-nucleotide ribosomal RNA is filed under the name uncultured bacterium. RNAcentral's name for it is "partial 16S ribosomal RNA". It matches the Rfam family "Bacterial small subunit ribosomal RNA", at positions 28 to 507 of the family's 1533-position model. The record is from RNAcentral.
GAUGAACGCUGGCGGCGUGCCUAAUACAUGCAAGUCGAGCGAACGGACGCGGAGCUUGCUUCUCUGAUGUUAGCGGCGGACGGGUGUGUAACACGUGGAUAACCUCCCUAUCAGACUGGUAUAACUUCGGGAAACCGGAGCUAAUACCGUAUGAUCUUUUGCUCCGUAUUGUUCAUAAGUGAAAGUCGGUCUUUCUGUCACUUCUCGCUGCAUCUGCGUUGUAUUAGCUGGUUGGUCAGGUAACGGCCUACCAAGGCAACGAUGCGUAGACGACUUGAGAGAGGGAUAGGCCGCACGGGAACGGAGACACGGUCCAUGCGCCUACGGGAGGCAGCAGUAGGGUACCGGCCGCAGUGGGCGAAAGCCUUACGGAACAACGCCGAGUGAGUUAUGAAGAUCUUCGGAUCGUAAUACUGGGUUUUUAGGGAAGAACAUAUGUGUAAGUAACUGAGCACAGAUUGACGGUACCUAAUCAGAAAGCCACGGCUAACUACGUG